RNAcentral lists this ribosomal RNA (515 nucleotides) under uncultured bacterium. Its description in RNAcentral is "partial 16S ribosomal RNA". It matches the Rfam family "Bacterial small subunit ribosomal RNA", at positions 28 to 523 of the family's 1533-position model. The record is from RNAcentral.
GACGAACGCUGGCGGCGUGCCUAAUACAUGCAAGUCGAGCGGACUUUCAAGAAGCUUGCUUUUUGAAAGUUAGCGGCGGACGGGUGAGUAACACGUGGGCAACCUGCCUGUAAGACGGGGAUAACUCCGGGAAACCGGGGCUAAUACCGGAUAAUAUCUUUCUUCGCAUGAAGGAAGGUUGAAAGGCGGCGCAAGCUGCCGCUUGCAGAUGGGCCCGCGGCGCAUUAGCUAGUUGGUGAGGUAACGGCUCACCAAGGCGACGAUACGUAGCCGCCCUGAGAGGGGGAUCGGCCACACUGGGAGUGAGACACGGCCCAGAGUCCUACGGGAGGCAGCAGUAGGGAAUCUUCCGCAAUGGACGAAAGUCUGACGGAGCAACGCCGCGUGAGCGAAGAAGGUCUUCGGAUCGUAAAGCUCUGUUGUCAGGGAAGAACAAGUACCGUUCGAAUAGGGCGGUACCUUGACGGUACCUGACCAGAAAGCCACGGCUAACUACGUGCCAGCCGCCGCGGUAA